Molecule: ribosomal RNA, 253 nt
Filed under: uncultured bacterium
Lineage: Bacteria
Description: partial 16S ribosomal RNA
Rfam family: Bacterial small subunit ribosomal RNA
Source: RNAcentral
UACAGAGGUCUCGAGCGUUAGGCGGAAUCACUGGGCUUAAAGCGUGUGUAGGCGGAUCGUUAAGUGCCUUGUGAAAUCCCACGGCUUAACCGUGGAACUGCUUGGCAUACUGCCGUGCUUGAGGACUGGAGAGGAGACUGGAAUUUACGGUGUAGCGGUGAAAUGCGUAGAUAUCGUAAGGAAGACCAGUGGCGAAGGCGGGUCUCUGGACAGUUCCUGACGCUGAGGCACGAAGGUCAGGGGAGCAAACGGG